Grus americana (Whooping crane) is the source of this 4879-nucleotide RNA transcript. It is a transcript of the gene named D-beta-hydroxybutyrate dehydrogenase, mitochondrial-like, with no coding region annotated. The transcript has 8 exons. The record is from RefSeq and is a predicted model, not a curated record. Lineage: Eukaryota; Metazoa; Chordata; Aves; Gruiformes; Gruidae.
GCCAUGCGGGGCGCCGCGAUGUUGUUCCUGGCGCUGGGCGCUGCGUUGCUGCUGGUGGGCGGCGGGCGGCGCCUGGCCCGCCACCUCCUCCUCCUCCUGCUGCCGUGGCGGGCCCACCGCGCCCUGCCCGCUGAAGGGAAGGCGGUGCUAAUCACAGGCUGUGACAAAGGUUUUGGACAUGCCUUGGCAAAACUGCUUCAUACAAAGGGAUUUACUGUUUUUGCUGGAUGCUUGCUCGCGGAUGAGAAUGGAGAGGGAGCCAGGGAACUGAAGAACGUGAAGUCAGAUCGCAUGAAGGUGCUACAGAUGGAUGUGUGCAGUGACCAGGAGGUGGCUCAGGCUGUGGAUUUUGUGAAGAGGACCCUGAAGGAGCCAGAGGAAGGUCUGUGGGGCCUGGUGAACAAUGCUGGUAUCUCGACCUUCGGAGAGGUGGAAUUUGCAAGUUUAGACAACUACAAGAAGGUGGCAGAGAUCAACCUGUGGGGCACCGUGAGGGUGACGAAGGCUUUCCUGCCUCUCAUUCGCAGAGCUAAAGGCCGUGUGGUGAAUAUCACAAGCAUGUUGGGACGGAUGGUGAGUCCAUCUCGCUCCUGCUAUUGCAUUUCCAAGUUCGGGGUGGCAGCCUUCUCUGAGUGCCUCCGGCAGGAGAUGUACCGCUGGGGUGUCAGAGUCAUCCUCAUUGAGCCCAGUAACUUCGUGGCAGCAACAGGCAUCCUGACAGCAGACGGCAUCGACAAACAGGCUGAGGCACUGUGGAACGGAGCCAGCAACGCUGUGCAGGUGGACUAUGGGAGGGAAUAUUUCACUCACCACGUGGCCCUGAUGAAGUCCUUUAUUAACAGUGGCCUGAAGGACAUGUCUCUGGUCUUGAAUGACAUCACCGAUGCGCUCACUUCCCCGUACCCAAAGAACCGUUACAAUCCCAUGGAGACCUACUGGUGGGUGAGGCUGCAAGUCAUGACUCACCUGCCCACUGCCAUUGCCGACUGGCUUUAUGUCCCCGGAGCCACCCUGUAAAUGGCCAUCCUUCAGGCAUCCUUCCAGUGCUCAUACGUACGCACAGAUCAUCAGCACAUGGAGAUCGCCUGGGAUCCAGGACUCGGAACAAUCCCACUGAACUGCAGCUUAGACAAGCGUUGUAAUCACUUCUGCCCCCUGCACUGUGAAAUGACCUGGCAGGUGAUGUGAAGAGCUGUGAAGUUUCCCAGCCCUCGCCAGCUCCAGCACACAGGUGGAGCAGCUCUGGUCACCUGAAAGUCUGGCAGAUCUUCCUUCACUGUGUUUGCCAAAGCACCAAUAAAAGUCGAAACAGGUAAAAUGAAAGAAAGAAUUUCCGCUUUGAUUGUAGAAAGGACAUUCGGCAGAGUAACCAGGUAAGAGCUGGUCUGUUUUCAUGGUAUAAUGGAAAAACUUCUGCCUAGGACUGAGAUCCAGCAGUUCUGGUCCUGGCCCUGCCACUGGCUCACUAAGCAUCCUGAACAAACCAGUCUGCCUGCACCAAGCUCCUUUACCAUCCCAGCCAUCCUUGCCGCUACCCUGCCCAUGCUGGAAAGCGGAAAACCAAAAAGUAUACAUUGCAGUGCAAUGCAGUGCUGUUUGACUCAUCCUGUUGUUACAACUGAGGCCAGAAUAGGUGUUAUCCCCCUGUCCGCAGGCUGAAUUACUUUUUGUGGCAGAAUAGAAAAUGUGGCGUCUCCGGUUUUCUGUGUGAAAGCUGCUACAAGUGGCUUACAAAGUCUUCUGAACUUUUAUAGCUUCAGGAAGGAAGGUGCCAGGGUUGAGGGCAGACAUUAACGCCGUUGUGUUGCUUUUAAACGGGCACCAAGGUUAACCAUCACCCCACAGGCACCUUGCCCAGGGACCUUGGACUGCAGCUUGGGGGAAAGCUCUACAUUGCUUUUUCCUGCAUAACUGCAGGGCCUCCCUGCCAGAGCGAUCCUGCCCCCCCGGGGUGGUACCUGUCACCUUGUGGGGUCAAGUGCUGUAGGAGAAGUCAUUUUCCUGGUGGGACUUUAACCAGGGUUACUAUGACAAUCAGUCAGCAGGCUGCCAGCACCGUGUGUCCUUGCAUUUCCUUCCUGGUUUCUGCCUGCUCAGGGGUGUUGAAGCAUUUGGAGCACAGCAAAGCACUUUCCCUUUCCACCACUAAUGAGAUGCAGCCGUUGCUCCAGGAAGCAUGACUAACGAGGGACUGGAGGGAGAGGGAAUGCACCCUGAUAAGGCCCCACAGCUCCAUCACCUACUGCAGGAAGGGAGGUGGCGGUGCCUGCAUCCCACUGGAGACAUCCAGUGGGUGUUUGGAGUACGGCUAUAUGGCUCUUCCUAUAGAAAGUAGUGCAUGAACGCUUGUGCUUGUGCAGGUGCUUGCCCUGGCAGCCCUCCAGAGCAGAAGAUGGAGAUCCAGUGCUCUAACACAGCCGAGGUGCGCUUUGAUAUUGGGAAAGUGCCUGCAGAAAAUCUGCCUGGGCACUUGGGAAAGGCUUCGAGGUGGCAAUGGCCAUCUUUAAAGAGGAUGAGACAGUGCAGGGGCUUGGCUCUGUGGCACGGCUCUGUGACACGAGGUGGCUUAGAGGAGGUGUAGGAUGGAGUCAUCCGGUGGGUGCAGUGGUCUGUCUGUCCCAACCAGCGACUCCAGCACUGAGUUUUCUUGGGGCAAGCACUGGUGUGGGAAUGGUGGUGGUGCUUUUACUGGGAGCUGCUGCCCACCACAUGCACACGCAGGAAGCACCUCUCCUCCCCACUUCCUCACGUACUCUCAGCCCCCACAUGAAGUCCCAACCUCAUCCCCUCCUUCCACAUACUCUUUUGCUGCCUGCCUUUAUCGACAAGCGAGUCCCUGAGACUCUGUAUCCCCAAGAGCACAUCUGGACCCUAUUUUCACACCACUGGCAUUUUCCACCCCCUGAGCCAUGCAGGAGCUGCCUGGUUCCCUCAAGCUUUGGGGACACCCAUACCAGGUGGCCUCUGCCCAGCUGCAGCACCGGCAGGAGCAGGAAGCCCCCAGCUUCCCAGGGACCGGCACUCAGCACGGCCGGGUCUGGCUCCUGGUUCGGGCAGCUCCUGGUUCGGGCAGGGCCAGGAGCCGGCUUCCAGCUCUGCCUGCGCACGGGCACUUACAGACCCAACUUCAGCGCCAGGCUGCUCUAUCGCAUCCCGAGGAAGCUCCUCCACUCCCGUACAUCUGCCCUGGCACGGGAAGCUUUUGCUCUGUUCCAUGGGUAAUAACCAUUUCGCAAGCAUAAUUAUGGCUGGGAAUGUAUGAUAUGACAUCUGUUUUGAGAAAAAUUCAAAUUAAUUGGAUAAAGCAUCCGUUGUCUCACCCCAAGUCUCUUCACACUAAAAUACAUGCCUGGUUAGUAUCCCUGGGGUGCAGCACAGACAAAAGCAUUUUUAGCACUGUCUGAAGUAAUCAUUCCUAAAAUCUAACUUGUUUGAAUGAAACUCGCUGUGAGUGGCAUCUCUGUGCCGUUUCAGACUGUAACUACGUAUAGAAACAAAGUCAGAGCAUUGACCACUGAAUUUAUUUAUUUUCUGUAUAAUGUAAACUCCAGUCUAGCAAACACUUAGGCCUGUGUUUCAAAGCAAGGCGUGUGUGCUCGGGCUCGGCGGCCUCAGUGCGGCUAUUCAUGGGCAAAGCCGAACACAUAUGCCAGUGUCUUUGCGCUCUGCAGCCCGUGCGGAGGGAUGCGACUUGCGCUUUCAGAAAGGAGAUUCUUAAAAUUCUCCUCUGGCUUGUGGUAUAAGAUGGGGCGGCUCAGAGACGGGGGUUGGAAAUGCUGUGCCGGCUGGUGGAGAAGUCCAUCAGGGCCAAAGUGCUGCCCUCAGAUCUUCCUGGUGCAUAUAUAAAACGUAUAUAAAACAGCCUUGCAGCCUAGGAAUGGGGGGUAUCUGAGGGUCUGAGGCCACCCCCAAACUCUGUGUGUGAUUCUGGGUAGCUGAUGCGAGUUGCUGACUUGAAGCGAAGUGCUCCCGCAGCAGGAGAGCCCACGUCCCUGCCGAAGGGCUCUGCGCUCGGCUGGCAGGAUGGCAUAAUCUGCAGGAGGUUUCUUAAUUGCAUUUCUUAAUGCAAUAGUCUGUUCUCUCUUCCUGUGAGCAGAGCUGCAGUUACCCGUACAUUAUAAAUCUAUGUUGCGAGGAACAUGUAGGUUGUAUAUAGGUCAUAGAAAAUAUAAUUGUGUAACUGUAUUAAUGCAUUCCUGAGCUAAGGUGCUGAAAUAUGGUUUAGCUGCAGAAAAUAGGGCUGUGAGCUUUAAAUAGCCCUACUUGGGCAUCCCGUGGACAGAGCUGACGAUGCCGUGAACUGUGAACUGUGCCUCCUCCAGGAGAGCAGAAAGUCCCUUUGCAGAAGGUGCUCUCUAAGUAUGUUUAAUGACAUUUUUUAAAGCGUUUAAAAUAUGUUUCAGUGUGCUCCAUUCCAACUCACAGCCCAGCCGGCAUUCACUGCUGGACCACGGGAGCCUGACAUCGGACGGACGGCGGGAUCUGCUCCCGCAUCCCCUGGAGAAGUCCUACUCUGCCCCCUUCUGCCACGCGCUUCCUCGCUCCUCUCCGUGAGAACCACGCCUGGCUGAACGCCUGCCCGGUACCUUGUGCAACUGUCAUAACUCAGCAGCAAAACACAAUGACAAUUUUUUUUUUUUUUGCCUUAUUUAGCAGCAUAAGGCUGACCUUGGUGUGGGGCACUUCUGGGACAUACUGAAAAACCAGGAUUAAAAACUCUGGGUUUUAUGAAAAGUAAGGAUCCCUCUGGCCCCUCUCUCCAGGGACUUGGACCUCAGCAGCAGUGCCAAGUGGGUCGGGGCGUCCUCCUGGGAGCCCAGCCAGAACCGCUGCUGGUCCUGCAAGACAGGGUUUGUCCCUUAAAUAAUAUCUUUUUUAG